GACGAACGCUGGCGGCGUGCCUAAUACAUGCAAGUAGAACGCUGAAGAGAGGAGCUUGCUCUUCUUGGAAGAGUCGCGAACGGGUGAGUAACGCGUAGGUAACCUGCCUUGUAGCGGGGGAUAACUAUUGGAAACGAUAGCUAAUACCGCAUAACAAUGGGUGACCCAUGUCAUUCAUUUGAAAGGGGCAACUGCUCCACUACAAGAUGGACCUGCGUUGUAUUAGCUAGUAGGUGAGGUAACGGCUCACCUAGGCGACGAUACAUAGCCGACCUGAGAGGGUGAUCGGCCACACUGGGACUGAGACACGGCCCAGACUCCUACGGGAGGCAGCAGUAGGGAAUCUUCGGCAAUGGGGGCAACCCUGACCGAGCAACGCCGCGUGAGUGAAGAAGGUUUUCGGAUCGUAAAGCUCUGUUGUAAGUCAAGAACGAGUGUGAGAGUGGAAAGUUCACACUGUGACGGUAGCUUACCAGAAAGGGACGGCUAACUACGUGCCAGCAGCCGCGGUAAUACGUAGGUCCCGAGCGUUGUCCGGAUUUAUUGGGCGUAAAGCGAGCGCAGGCGGUUUGAUAAGUCUGAAGUUAAAGGCUGUGGCUCAACCAUAGUUCGCUUUGGAAACUGUCAAACUUGAGUGCAGAAGGGGAGAGUGGAAUUCCAUGUGUAGCGGUGAAAUGCGUAGAUAUAUGGAGGAACACCGGUGGCGAAAGCGGCUCUCUGGUCUGUAACUGACGCUGAGGCUCGAAAGCGUGGGGAGCGAACAGG
RNAcentral lists this ribosomal RNA (765 nucleotides) under uncultured Streptococcus sp. Its description in RNAcentral is "bacterial SSU rRNA". It matches the Rfam family "Bacterial small subunit ribosomal RNA", at positions 28 to 776 of the family's 1533-position model. Lineage: Bacteria; Bacillati; Bacillota; Bacilli; Lactobacillales; Streptococcaceae. The record is from RNAcentral.